RNAcentral lists this transfer RNA (67 nucleotides) under Marmota monax (woodchuck). RNAcentral's name for it is "tRNA.Val". Lineage: Eukaryota; Metazoa; Chordata; Mammalia; Rodentia; Sciuridae. The record is from RNAcentral.
GGUUAUGGCUCGGUGGUAGAGUGCUUGCCUCACAUGUGCAAGGCCCUGGGUUCAAUCCUCAGCACCA